GUGCAUCCCACCAAGAAGCAUGCAGGGGUGGAAUCCACACCAAGGUCUUUUAAUUAAACAAUUAAUUAUAUAACUGCAUAGUCAGGUACUUGGCAAUCUUUCACAAAGUAAGCACACCCCGAACUCGAAUCACUGCUAUUUAUAUACAGCAAACUUGUGAAACUCUCUCUGGCUACUUUUGUCUCUUGAUUGGCUCACCUAACUUAUCUCUACCGAGUUUGUGCAUUACAGAGGACUGGUAGGGGAGGGUGGGGUGGGGAACAAAUCUCACGUUUAGCAUUUUGAUGGGUGUGUUUUUAAUAUGUUAAUGACCCUUAAUGAGCAAAAGAUUACCAUUGGUAUUCUGGUAUCUUCCUUCAGCUGUUUUCCUCCCUGUUUUCUAGCUUUCAUCCCUUACCUCCUUUGUUUCUGCUAGCUUGAGGCUACCUCAUUUCUUCAAGGUUUCCUUGUCUUCUUCAGUUUAAGACUACAAUCUGAGAGAUCCUGAAGUUUAAACACCCUUCUUGUGAAAAGAAGGGGGAUCCGUGCAUCUUUUUCUUUCUUUUGUGAGAAAAGGAAGCUUAAAAAGAUGCGAAUAUAUGAAUAAGUAUCUGACAUGAUACAGGAUCCUUUCAGAAUGUCUUCUGUGGAGAAGUGAGAAAGUAAAUGUCCUGGAGCAUACAAUCCCAUGAUGAAGUCAGAUUCCCACAUAUCUGCAUUUGAUUCCAAAGUGGAGUGUUUUAACGAACCGAAAGAGACCAUCCCUGGCCCUGGAGCAUACCAGGUUACAAGUCUGCUGGAGUUCAUCAAGAUCUUCUGAUUGAUUUCUCUGCAUUGAUUGGUUAGGAUCACUGACUUCAAGGAUAUGUAAUGACGUGUAAUGCUGUAAACCAGAAGGAUUCAACAUGUAUGCUCUGUUCAUCAUUCGUUUUCUAUAGUAUAGACAGUUAAAAAUAGCAAUAACUGUAGUAAUUGUAAUGCAGAAUUACACAUAUUGUAGAGUACAAUAUGACAGCAGAAUGAAAUUGUUUGUGGAGUUGCUAGCCAUUACUUAGUUUUAAGUGUACAGAGCCUCUUGUUCAAAACUCUGCUAGAAUUUAACGUACUCUAAAAGAUUCAUUAGUCCUAUAAUUCUUUGAGAUAACUGUUGGGAGAAAAAGCAUUAGAAAGAGAAAAACCUCAUGCAAGGCACUUCUUAGUUCUGUGGCUGAAGAAGGCAAAUGGAGUCUAUCGUGUGUAGAGCUCAGUGUAAAUCUGUAUCUUUCAUUGCAUGAGAAUAUCAUGGAUGAGACAUUGCUCAUGAUUCAGGUGUAAGAGGACAUCAAGAAUGAAACAGAAUUGAAAUUCCUAUGCAACUUUAUUAAAUAAUUUCCUAUUAUUUCCUCUUGUAAUCUUCAAGCCUUACAUGUAAGAAUUUGAAGCGGAAGAACAUGUUAUGCAUAAAAAAAGACUGUUUUUUUACCAAUAACUUUAACAGUGACUUUUUCACAAGUAGAGGGUACUCUGACAUAGUAAGCAAAUAAAGUAAUGUUCCUAUCUUUGAGAGGGAGAGAG
This 1533-nucleotide long non-coding RNA is filed under the name Anas platyrhynchos platyrhynchos (common mallard). RNAcentral's name for it is "lncRNA (ENSAPLG00000030655.1)". The record is from RNAcentral. Lineage: Eukaryota; Metazoa; Chordata; Aves; Anseriformes; Anatidae.